Molecule: transfer-messenger RNA, 345 nt
Filed under: Peptoniphilus harei
Lineage: Bacteria; Bacillati; Bacillota; Tissierellia; Tissierellales; Peptoniphilaceae
Also listed under: 2 other names
Rfam family: transfer-messenger RNA
About the family: Bacterial tmRNA, also known as 10Sa RNA or SsrA, is named for its dual tRNA and mRNA-like properties.
Source: RNAcentral
GGGGGCGAAAAUGGUUUCGACGGGGAUUUUGAGCUUUAAGUAGCGAGUCGUUGAUGGAUCAUACAACGUAAAAAUGGUCUAUAAAAAAUAAACGACGAAAAUAAUUUCGCACUAGCUGCCUAAGUUUAGGUAGCAAUCCGGCCAGAUGCCGCGAACUGUAACCGGGUUUCAAAUUAGCGGGCAAACGAACUCUGUGAUUCGCCAUAGCAGAGGGGGUUAAUGGCGAUACUCUGUAUGAGUUUGACACUCUAGUAAUGCAGAGGAAAAUUAAAGAGGAGUCUGCACUCGGAGAAUCUUUCUGUAAGAGGUCUUCGGACGCGGGUUCGACUCCCGCCGCCUCCACCA